Molecule: ribosomal RNA, 222 nt
Filed under: Clostridioides difficile
Lineage: Bacteria; Bacillati; Bacillota; Clostridia; Peptostreptococcales; Peptostreptococcaceae
Description: partial 23S ribosomal RNA
Rfam family: Bacterial large subunit ribosomal RNA
Source: RNAcentral
GGUGCCACCAUCAGGUGGCCGCAGAGAAUAGGCCCAAGCGACUGUUUACCAAAAACAUAGGUUUCUGCUAAGUCGCAAGACGAUGUAUAGGAGCGGACGCCUGCCCGGUGCUGGAAGGUUAAGGGGAGCUGUUAGAGCAAUCGAAGCAGUGAACUUAAGCCCCAGUAAACGGCGGCCGUAACUAUAACGGUCCUAAGGUAGCGAAAUUCCUUGUCGGGUAAG